GAGCAUGUCAGACCGCUGUCUCCCCCUACAGCCAUGGAGAAGAACAGUGUCUCAAAAACAUGCAACAGCAACAGUCUCUGGAGUUCACAGGGCCAUUGGUCAACUAGGAAUGACCAAUUGGUAGUAUCAGACUCCAAUACCU
Boleophthalmus pectinirostris (great blue-spotted mudskipper) is the source of this 142-nucleotide small nucleolar RNA. RefSeq annotates it as small nucleolar RNA U109. The record is from RefSeq and is a predicted model, not a curated record. NCBI's taxonomy places the organism in Eukaryota, Metazoa, Chordata, Actinopteri, Gobiiformes, Gobiidae. The transcript has a single exon.